RNAcentral lists this ribosomal RNA (586 nucleotides) under uncultured bacterium. Its description in RNAcentral is "partial 16S ribosomal RNA". It matches the Rfam family "Bacterial small subunit ribosomal RNA", at positions 355 to 1375 of the family's 1533-position model. The record is from RNAcentral.
UGGGGAAUUUUGGACAAUGGGCGAAAGCCUGAUCCAGCAAUGCCGCGUGUGUGAAGAAGGCCUUCGGGUUGUAAAGCACUUUUGUCCGGAAAGAAAUCCUUGGCUCUAAUACAGUCGGGGGAUGACGGUACCGGAAGAAUAGGCACCGGCUAACUACGUGCCAGCAGCCGCGGUAAUACGUAGGGUGCAAGCGUUAAUCGGAAUUACUGGGCGUAAAGCGUGCGCAGGCGGUUUGCUAAGACCGAUGUGAAAUCCCCGGGCUCAACCUGGGAACUGCAUUGGUGACUGGCAGGCUAGAGUAUGGCAGAGGGGGGUAGAAUUCCACGUGUAGUAGUGAAAUGCGUAGAGAUGUGGAGGAAUACCGAUGGCGAAGGCAGCCCCCUGGGCCAAUACUGACGCUCAUGCACGAAAGCGUGGGGAGCAAAACAGGAUUAGAUACCCUGGUAGUCCACGCCCUAAACGAUGUCAACUAGUUGUUGGGGAUUCAUUUCCUUAGUAACGUAGCUAACGCGUGAAGUUGACCGCCUGGGGAGUACGGUCGCAAGAUUAAAACUUAAAGGAAUUGACGGGGUCAUAGCUGUUUCCU